This 254-nucleotide ribosomal RNA is filed under the name uncultured bacterium. Its description in RNAcentral is "partial 16S ribosomal RNA". It matches the Rfam family "Bacterial small subunit ribosomal RNA", at positions 524 to 777 of the family's 1533-position model. The record is from RNAcentral.
UACAGAGGGGGCAAGCGUUGUUCGGAAUUACUGGGCGUAAAGGGCGCGUAGGCGGCCCGCUAAGUCGAACGUGAAAUCCCCGAGCUCAACUCGGGAACUGCGUCCGAUACUGGCGGGCUUGAAUCCGGGAGAGGGAUGCGGAAUUCCAGGUGUAGCGGUGAAAUGCGUAGAUAUCUGGAGGAACACCGGUGGCGAAGGCGGCAUCCUGGACCGGCAUUGACGCUGAGGCGCGAAAGCUAGGGGAGCAAACGGGG